Molecule: ribosomal RNA, 688 nt
Filed under: uncultured Chlorobiota bacterium
Lineage: Bacteria; Pseudomonadati; Chlorobiota
Description: bacterial SSU rRNA
Rfam family: Bacterial small subunit ribosomal RNA
Source: RNAcentral
GCUGAAAGCUUGGUUAGCGAACAGGAUUAGAUACCCUGUAGUCCACGCCGUAAACGAUGAAUACUAGAUGUCGAACGCAAGUUCGGUGUCGGAGCAAACGCAUUAAGUAUUCCACCUGGGGAGUACGAUCGCAAGGCUGAAACUCAAAGGAAUUGACGGGGGCCCGCACAAGCAGUGGAGCAUGUGGUUUAAUUAGAUGCAACGCGAAGAACCUUACCUGGGCUUGAAACGCAGUGGACUGAAUGUGAAAGCAUUCUUCUCUUCGGAGUCGCUGUACAGGUGCUGCAUGGCUGUCGUCAGCUCGUGCCGUGAGGUGUUGGGUUAAGUCCCGCAACGAGCGCAACCCUUACCAUUAGUUGCCAUCAGGUUAAGCUGGGCACUUUAAUGGGACUGCCUACGCAAGUAGUGAGGAAGGUGGGGAUGACGUCAAGUCAGCAUGGCCCUUACGCCCAGGGCUACACACGUGCUACAAUGGGUGCAACAACGGGUUGCUAAGCCGCAAGGUGGAGCCAAUCCCUUAAAUGCAUCCUCAGUUCGGAUUGGAGUCUGCAACUCGACUCCAUGAAGUCGGAAUUGCUAGUAAUCGCGCAUCAGCACGGCGCGGUGAAUACGUUCCCGGGCCUUGUACACACCGCCCGUCAAGCCAUGGAAGCCGGGGGUACCCAAAGUCGGUGACCCAACCCUUCGG